RNAcentral lists this ribosomal RNA (1222 nucleotides) under Curtobacterium oceanosedimentum. RNAcentral describes it as "bacterial SSU rRNA". It matches the Rfam family "Bacterial small subunit ribosomal RNA", at positions 122 to 1354 of the family's 1533-position model. Lineage: Bacteria; Bacillati; Actinomycetota; Actinomycetes; Micrococcales; Microbacteriaceae. The record is from RNAcentral.
UAACCUGCCCCUGACUCUGGGAUAAGCGUUGGAAACGACGUCUAAUACUGGAUAUGACUGCCGGCCGCAUGGUCUGGUGGUGGAAAGAUUUUUUGGUUGGGGAUGGACUCGCGGCCUAUCAGCUUGUUGGUGAGGUAAUGGCUCACCAAGGCGACGACGGGUAGCCGGCCUGAGAGGGUGACCGGCCACACUGGGACUGAGACACGGCCCAGACUCCUACGGGAGGCAGCAGUGGGGAAUAUUGCACAAUGGGCGAAAGCCUGAUGCAGCAACGGCCGCGUGAGGGAUGACGGCCUUUCGGGUUGUAAACCUCUUUUAGUAAGGAAGAAGCGAAAGUGACGGUACCUGCAGAAAAAGCACCGCCUAAAUACGUGCCAGCAGCCGAGGUAAUACGUAGGGUGCAAGCGUUGUCCGGAAAUAUUGGGCGUAAAGAGCUCGUAGGCGGUUUGUCGACGUCUGCUGUGAAAUCCCGAGACUCAACCUCGGGCUUGCAGUGGGUACGGGCAGACUAGAGUGCGGUAGGGGAGAUUGGAAUUCCUGGUGUAGCGGUGGAAUGCGCAGAUAUCAGGAGGAACACCGAUGGCGAAGGCAGAUCUCUGGGCCGUAACUGACGAUGAGGAGCGAUAGCAUGGGGAGCGAACAGGAUUAGAUACCCUGGUAGUCCAUGCCGUAAACGUUGGGCGCUAGAUGUAGGGACCUUUCCACGGUUUCUGUGUCGUAGCUAACGCAUUAAGCGCCCCGCCUGGGGAGUACGGCCGCAAGGCUAAAACUCAAAGGAAUUGACGGGGGCCCGCACAAGCGGCGGAGCAUGCGGAUUAAUUCGAUGCAACGCGAAGAACCUUACCAAGGCUUGACAUACACCGGAAACGGCCAGAGAUGGUCGCCCCCUUGUGGUCGGUGUACAGGUGGUGCAUGGUUGUCGUCAGCUCGUGUCGUGAGAUGUUGGGUUAAGUCCCGCAACGAGCGCAACCCUCGUUCUAUGUUGCCAGCGCGUUAUGGCGGGGACUCAUAGGAGACUGCCGGGGUCAACUCGGAGGAAGGUGGGGAUGACGUCAAAUCAUCAUGCCCCUUAUGUCUUGGGCUUCACGCAUGCUACAAUGGCCGGUACAAAGGGCUGCGAUACCGUAAGGUGGAGCGAAUCCCAAAAAGCCGGUCUCAGUUCGGAUUGAGGUCUGCAACUCGACCUCAUGAAGUCGGAGUCCCUAGUACUCGCAGAUCAGCA